This 771-nucleotide ribosomal RNA is filed under the name Carabdytes upin. RNAcentral's name for it is "partial 16S ribosomal RNA". The stretch from base 1 to 564 matches the Rfam family "Bacterial large subunit ribosomal RNA", at positions 1845 to 2925 of the family's 2925-position model. The record is from RNAcentral. Lineage: Eukaryota; Metazoa; Arthropoda; Insecta; Coleoptera; Dytiscidae.
AUUUAAGGUUUAACCUGCCCACUGAAUUUUGAAGGGCCGCAGUAAUUUGACUGUGCAAAGGUAGCAUAAUCAUUAGUUUUUUAAUUAAAAGCUUGUAUGAAGGGUUGGACGAGAUAAAAUCUGUCUUUAUUUAAUUUAUAGUAGAAUUUAAUUUUUAAGUUAAAAAGCUUAAAUUUAUUUAAAAGACGAGAAGACCCUAUAGAUCUUUAUAUAAAUUUUUAUAGUUUUAAUUAAGAAUAUUUUAUUUAUUAUUAAAAUUUAUAUUUUAUUGGGGUAAUAAAAAGAUUAAAUAAAUUCUUUUUUGAAUUAAACAUUGAUUUAUGAUUAGUUGAUCCAAUAUUUUUGAUUAAAAGAUUAAGUUACCUUAGGGAUAACAGCGUAAUUUUUUUAGAGAGUUCAUAUCGAUAAAAAAGUUUGCGACCUCGAUGUUGGAUUAAAAAUUAUCUUAGGUGCAGAAGUUUAAGAUUUUGGUCUGUUCGACCAUUGAAUUUUUACAUGAUCUGAGUUCAGACCGGCGUAAGCCAGGUCGGUUUCUAUCUUUAAUUAAUUAAUAUAUUUUAGUACGAAAGGACCAAAUAUUUAAUAUAUUUAUAUUUAGUAUUUUGAAUAUUAUUAGUUAUUUUGGCAGAUUAGUGCUAUGAAUUUAGAAUUCAUAAAUGUAAGUUUUUUACAAAUAAUAUUGUUUUUUAAAGAUUUAAUUUUUUCUUUAAUUUGUUUUUUAUUAUUAGUAGUGUGUGUUUUAGUAGGGGUAGCAUUUUUGACUUUAUUAGA